Molecule: ribosomal RNA, 1265 nt
Filed under: uncultured bacterium
Lineage: Bacteria
Description: bacterial SSU rRNA
Rfam family: Bacterial small subunit ribosomal RNA
Source: RNAcentral
GAGCGGCGGACGGGUGAGUAACGCGUGGGUGACCUGCCCCAUACCGGGGGAUAACAGCUGGAAACGACUGCUAAUACCGCAUAAGCCCACGGGUCGGCAUCGACCAGAGGGAAAAGGAGCAAUCCGCUUUGAGAUGGCCUCGCGUCCGAUUAGCUAGUUGGUGAGGUAACGGCCCACCAAGGCGACGAUCGGUAGCCGGACUGAGAGGUUGAACGGCCACAUUGGGACUGAGACACGGCCCAGACUCCUACGGGAGGCAGCAGUGGGGAAUAUUGCACAAUGGGGGAAACCCUGAUGCAGCGACGCCGCGUGGAGGAAAAAGGUCUUCGGAUUGUAAACUCCUGUUGUUGGGGAAGAUAAUGACGGUACCCAACAAGGAAGUGACGGCUAACUACGUGCCAGCAGCCGCGGUAAAACGUAGGUCACAAGCGUUGUCCGGAAUUACUGGGUGUAAAGGGAGCGCAGGCGGGAAGACAAGUUGGAAGUGAAAUCUAUGGGCUCAACCCAUAAACUGCUUUCAAAACUGUUUUUCUUGAGUAGUGCAGAGGUAGGCGGAAUUCCCGGUGUAGCGGUGGAAUGCGUAGAUAUCGGGAGGAACACCAGUGGCGAAGGCGGCCUACUGGGCACCAACUGACGCUGAGGCUCGAAAGUGUGGGUAGCAAACAGGAUUAGAUACCCUGGUAGUCCACACCGUAAACGAUGAUUACUAGGUGUUGGAGGAUUGACCCCUUCAGUGCCGCAGUUAACACAAUAAGUAAUCCACCUGGGGAGUACGACCGCAAGGUUGAAACUCAAAGGAAUUGACGGGGGCCCGCACAAGCAGUGGAGUAUGUGGUUUAAUUCGACGCAACGCGAAGAACCUUACCAAGUCUUGACAUCCCUUGACAGGCAUAGAAAUAUGUAUUCUCUUCGGAGCAAGGAGACAGGUGGUGCAUGGUUGUCGUCAGCUCGUGUCGUGAGAUGUUGGGUUAAGUCCCGCAACGAGCGCAACCCUUAUGGUCAGUUACUACGCAAGAGGACUCUGGCCAGACUGCCGUUGACAAAACGGAGGAAGGUGGGGAUGACGUCAAAUCAUCAUGCCCUUUAUGACUUGGGCUACACACGUACUACAAUGGCGUUAAACAAAGAGAAGCAAGACCGCGAGGUGGAGCAAAACUCAAAAAUAACGUCCCAGUUCGGACUGUAGUCUGCAACUCGACUACACGAAGUCGGAAUUGCUAGUAAUCGUGGAUCAGCAUGCCCCGGUGAAUCGUUCCCGGGCCUUG